RNAcentral lists this ribosomal RNA (439 nucleotides) under uncultured bacterium. RNAcentral describes it as "bacterial SSU rRNA". It matches the Rfam family "Bacterial small subunit ribosomal RNA", at positions 954 to 1392 of the family's 1533-position model. The record is from RNAcentral.
GCUAAACGCGAAGAACCUUACCAAGGCUUGACAUAUACGAGAACGGGCCAGAAAUGGUCAACUCUUUGGACACUCGUAAACAGGUGGUGCAUGGUUGUCGUCAGCUCGUGUCGUGAGAUGUUGGGUUAAGUCCCGCAACGAGCGCAACCCUCGUUCUAUGUUGCCAGCACGUAAUGGUGGGAACUCAUGGGAUACUGCCGGGGUCAACUCGGAGGAAGGUGGGGAUGACGUCAAAUCAUCAUGCCCCUUAUGUCUUGGGCUUCACGCAUGCUACAAUGGCCGGUACAAAGGGCUGCAAUACCGUAAGGUGGAGCGAAUCCCAAAAAGCCGGUCCCAGUUCGGAUUGAGGUCUGCAACUCGACCUCAUGAAGUCGGAGUCGCUAGUAAUCGCAGAUCAGCAACGCUGCGGUGAAUACGUUCCCGGGUCUUGUUCACACCG